GGCCCCAUCGUUCAACCGGUUAGGACAGCGGCCUUUCACGCCGUAAACUGGGGUUCGAAUCCCCAUGGGGUCA
Molecule: transfer RNA, 73 nt
Filed under: Deltaproteobacteria bacterium HGW-Deltaproteobacteria-22
Lineage: Bacteria; Deltaproteobacteria
Description: tRNA-Glu
Rfam family: tRNA
About the family: Transfer RNA (tRNA) molecules are approximately 80 nucleotides in length.
Source: RNAcentral